AGUGAACGCUGGCGGUAGGCCUAACACAUGCAAGUCGAACGGCAGCACAGAGGAGCUUGCUCCUUGGGUGGCGAGUGGCGGACGGGUGAGGAAUACAUCGGAAUCUACUCUGUCGUGGGGGAUAACGUAGGGAAACUUACGCUAGUACCGCAUACGACCUACGGGUGAAAGCAGGGGACCUUCGGGCCUUGCGCGAUUGAAUGAGCCGAUGUCGGAUUAGCUAGUUGGCGGGGUAAAGGCCCACCAAGGCGACGAUCCGUAGCUGGUCUGAGAGGAUGAUCUGCCACACUGGAACUGAGACACGGUCCAGACUCCUACGGGAGGCAGCAGUGGGGAAUAUUGGACAAUGGGCGCAAGCCUGAUCCAGCCAUACCGCGUGGGUGAAGAAGGCCUUCGGGUUGUAAAGCCCUUUUGUUGGGAAAGAAAUCCAGCUGGCUAAUACCCGGUUGGGAUGACGGUACCCAAAGAAUAAGCACCGGCUAACUUCGUGCCAGCAGCCGCCGUAA
RNAcentral lists this ribosomal RNA (506 nucleotides) under uncultured bacterium. Its description in RNAcentral is "partial 16S ribosomal RNA". It matches the Rfam family "Bacterial small subunit ribosomal RNA", at positions 29 to 523 of the family's 1533-position model. The record is from RNAcentral.